UUGCACGUCUACAUAAAGUUGUAAAAGAGUGCCUUUUUGGACUACCCCACGACGUAAGGAUUAAAGUUUUUAUUCCCUUUGAGUGAGGCCAAUGAGUUCUGAUGGCAUUGUAUCGGCUGUGGUUGGACAUCAUUACAUGUUAAGGCAUGUCGAAGAAUCCUCCUGUCCGAAAUAAUUGUCAGUUUAAAAGCAAAGAACAAGUUGAGCUUUAUUAAGACUCGAGGGGAGUAACAGUCAGAACUCAGCCUGCUUCGUGCUGGAGGAGAGAGAAGGAGAAAGAGGUCUGCCGCAGCGGAGCCGAGCGCAGCGGAGCCGAGUGGGAGCGGAGCUGAGCCGACAGCGCGCUGGGUCACGUGGUUAAGCUCGCGUCUCUCUCAAGCAUCAAAGACACCCAAACACACACAGACAUCCCAUAAGACAGCCAGAGUCGAGUGGUGUAGCUUGUUUAAGCUACAAAUAAGUAACAUGUUUAUACAAGUUAAAUGUGGAGAGUAGAUUUCCUUAGCUCAUCUUAAAGGGACUCUGUCAAGCAAUGAAAGGGGAAGUGUGGUGGUUUUGGAGUAAAAGUUUAAGUUCAUGUUAUUAGCUGUUUAUGCUAAGUAACUGUAAUUAAGGUACGUUUAAGUUGAUUAUAAGGGUUUUUUGCUUAUUUUUAAGACUGCAUUAGAUAUUUAAAGGUCACAUUAUAGUAUUUUGUUUGACAUUGAAGGUUAUUUUCUGUUUAACUACAAGUGAAGAACAAUUUAUUAUUUUGGUUUAAGUGAUGGUGACAUAUAUUUAAGCUGACUCUUUAAAGUAAAGCAAUUCAAGUUCCUAGGUGCUUCAUAAGGUGACUAUUCACGUAUUUAAGUUGACCUAGGUGACUUGAGUGUAGUAUAACACCUUUGACUGUCUGUGACAUGGAGCAAGAAGGCUGUGACGCUGAAGCUGUGGAGCAGCAAGAAGCUUUUGAAGAGCAAGAAAGUUUGCAAGAACCAUGCACAAGUAAAGCUACUAAAGAAGGAAGUUUGAGGAAAAGUCAAAGAGUUAAGAAGUUCACUGAAAGGGGCCAAG
Long non-coding RNA from Oreochromis aureus, 1053 nucleotides. The record is from Ensembl. Lineage: Eukaryota; Metazoa; Chordata; Actinopteri; Cichliformes; Cichlidae.